RNAcentral lists this ribosomal RNA (251 nucleotides) under uncultured prokaryote. RNAcentral describes it as "partial 16S rRNA". It matches the Rfam family "Bacterial small subunit ribosomal RNA", at positions 525 to 775 of the family's 1533-position model. The record is from RNAcentral.
ACGUAGGGUGCGAGCGUUAAUCGGAAUUACUGGGCGUAAAGCGUGCGCAGGCGGUUUUGUAAGACAGGCGUGAAAUCCCCGGGCUCAACCUGGGAACUGCGUUUGUGACUGCAAGGCUAGAGUACGGCAGAGGGGGGUGGAAUUCCAGGUGUAGGAGUGAAAUGCGGAGAGAUGUGGAGGAACACCAAUGGCGAAGGCGUCCCCCUGGGUCGAUUCUGACGCUCAUGCACGAAAGCGUGGGUAGCAAACAG